Molecule: ribosomal RNA, 367 nt
Filed under: uncultured bacterium
Lineage: Bacteria
Description: bacterial SSU rRNA
Rfam family: Bacterial small subunit ribosomal RNA
Source: RNAcentral
AGCGAACGCUGGCGGCGUGGAUAAGGCAUGCAAGUCGAGCGAUCCCGCAAGGGAUAGCGGCAAACGGGUGAGUAACGCGUAAGCAAUCUACCCUGGACUGUGGGAUAACUUCUCGAAAGAGAGGCUAAUACCGCAUAUGCUUACGGCAUCAUAUGAUGCUGUAAGGAAAGGUGGCGAACCGCAAGGUGCUAUCGUUCCAGGAGGAGCUUGCGUUCCAUCAGCUAGUUGGUAGGGUAACGGCCUACCAAGGCAUCUGACGGAUAGCUGGCCUAAGAGGGUGGUCAGCCACACUGGGACUGAGACACUGCCCAGACUCCUACGGGAGGCUGCAGUCGAGAAUCUUUGGCAAUGGACGAAAGUCUGACCA